This 253-nucleotide ribosomal RNA is filed under the name uncultured bacterium. RNAcentral describes it as "partial 16S ribosomal RNA". It matches the Rfam family "Bacterial small subunit ribosomal RNA", at positions 524 to 776 of the family's 1533-position model. The record is from RNAcentral.
UACGAAGGGGGCUAGCGUUGUUCGGAAUUACUGGGCGUAAAGCGCGCGCAGGCGGUCUUCCAAGUCAGUGGUGAAAGCCCGGAGCUCAACUCCGGAACUGCCAUUGAAACUGUUAGACUUGAGUAUGAGAGAGGUGAGUGGAAUUCCCAGUGUAGAGGUGAAAUUCGUAGAUAUCGGGAGGAACACCGGUGGCGAAGGCGGCGAUCUGGGUCGAUACUGACGCUGAGGUGCGAAAGCGUGGGGAGCAAACAGG